This 466-nucleotide ribosomal RNA is filed under the name Vreelandella stevensii. RNAcentral's name for it is "partial 16S ribosomal RNA". It matches the Rfam family "Bacterial small subunit ribosomal RNA", at positions 338 to 795 of the family's 1533-position model. The record is from RNAcentral. Lineage: Bacteria; Pseudomonadati; Pseudomonadota; Gammaproteobacteria; Oceanospirillales; Halomonadaceae.
CCUACGGGUGGCAGCAGUGGGGAAUAUUGGACAAUGGGCGAAAGCCUGAUCCAGCCAUGCCGCGUGUGUGAAGAAGGCCUUCGGGUUGUAAAGCACUUUCAGUGGGGAAGAAAGCCUUGGGGCUAAUACCCUCGAGGAAGGACAUCACCCACAGAAGAAGCACCGGCUAACUCCGUGCCAGCAGCCGCGGUAAUACAGGAGGGUGCGAGCGUUAAUCGGAAUUACUGGGCGUAAAGCGCGCGUAGGCGGUCUGAUAAGCCGGUUGUGAAAGCCCCGGGCUCAACCUGGGAACGGCAUCCGGAACUGUCAGGCUAGAGUGCAGGAGAGGAAGGUAGAAUUCCCGGUGUAGCGGUGAAAUGCGUAGAGAUCGGGAGGAAUACCAGUGGCGAAGGCGGCCUUCUGGACUGACACUGACGCUGAGGUGCGAAAGCGUGGGUAGCAAACAGGAUUAGAUACCCGAGUAGUC